Molecule: ribosomal RNA, 780 nt
Filed under: uncultured bacterium
Lineage: Bacteria
Description: bacterial SSU rRNA
Rfam family: Bacterial small subunit ribosomal RNA
Source: RNAcentral
UAGAGUUUGAUCAUGGCUCAGAUUGAACGCUGGCGGCAGGCCUAACACAUGCAAGUCGAGCGGCAGCGGGAAGUAGCUUGCUACUUUGCCGGCGAGCGGCGGACGGGUGAGUAAUGUCUGGGAAACUGCCUGAUGGAGGGGGAUAACUACUGGAAACGGUAGCUAAUACCGCAUGAUGUCGCAAGACCAAAGUGGGGGACCUUCGGGCCUCACGCCAUCGGAUGUGCCCAGAUGGGAUUAGCUAGUAGGUGGGGUAAUGGCUCACCUAGGCGACGAUCCCUAGCUGGUCUGAGAGGAUGACCAGCCACACUGGAACUGAGACACGGUCCAGACUCCUACGGGAGGCAGCAGUGGGGAAUAUUGCACAAUGGGCGCAAGCCUGAUGCAGCCAUGCCGCGUGUGUGAAGAAGGCCUUAGGGUUGUAAAGCACUUUCAGCGAGGAGGAAGGCAUUGUAGUUAAUAGCUGCAACGAUUGACGUUACUCGCAGAAGAAGCACCGGCUAACUCCGUGCCAGCAGCCGCGGUAAUACGGAGGGUGCAAGCGUUAAUCGGAAUUACUGGGCGUAAAGCGCACGCAGGCGGUUUGUUAAGUCAGAUGUGAAAUCCCCGAGCUUAACUUGGGAACUGCAUUUGAAACUGGCAAGCUAGAGUCUUGUAGAGGGGGGUAGAAUUCCAGGUGUAGCGGUGAAAUGCGUAGAGAUCUGGAGGAAUACCGGUGGCGAAGGCGGCCCCCUGGACAAAGACUGACGCUCAGGUGCGAAAGCGUGGGGAGCAAACAGG